Molecule: ribosomal RNA, 179 nt
Filed under: uncultured bacterium
Lineage: Bacteria
Description: partial 16S ribosomal RNA
Rfam family: Bacterial small subunit ribosomal RNA
Source: RNAcentral
ACUCCUACGGGAGGCAGCAGUAGGGAAUAUUGGGCAAUGGGCGAAAGCCUGACCCAGCGACGCCGCGUGAGGGAUGAAGGUCUUCGGAUUGUAAACCUCUUUCAGUAGGGAAGAAGCGAAAGUGACGGUACCUAAAGAAGAAGCACCGGCUAACUACGUGCCAGCAGCCGCGGUAAUAC